CAAGGGAUCCUAGUACGGCGAGUGAAGAGGGAAGAGCCCAAGAUUGAAAGCUGGCGUCUUCGGCGUCCGCAUUGUAAUCUCAAGAAGUGUUUUCCGCUUCGGACCAAGCCUAAGUCCCUUGGAAAAGGGCAUCAUAGAGGGUGAUAAUCCCGUACAUGGCUUGGAGCGCCCGAAGCUUUGUGAUACGCUUUCUAAGAGUCGAGUUGUUUGGGAAUGCAGCUCAAAAUGGGUGGUAAAUGCCAUCUAAGGCUAAAUAUUGGGGAGAGACCGAUAGCGAACAAGUACAGUGAUGGAAAGAUGAAAAGAACUUUGAAAAGAGAGUUAAACAGUACGUGAAAUUGCCAAAAGGGAAGGGUAGGAGGUCAGAGAUGCGGCCUGGGAUUCAGCCUUGCUUUUGCUUGGUGUUUUUCCCAGAUUGCAGGCCAACGUCGGUUUUGGGCACUGGAGAAGGGUAGGAGGAACGUGGCACCUCUCGGGGUGUGUUAUAGCCUCCUACUGGAUACAGCGACCGAGACCGAGGACAGCAGCGUACUCGCAAGAGCGGGCCUUCGGGCACCUUUACGCUUAGGGCGUUGGCAUAAUGGCCCUCUACCACCCGUCUUGAAAAAAAGGACCAAAAA
This 620-nucleotide ribosomal RNA is filed under the name Moesziomyces aphidis. RNAcentral's name for it is "eukaryotic LSU rRNA". It matches the Rfam family "Eukaryotic large subunit ribosomal RNA", at positions 69 to 672 of the family's 3401-position model. Lineage: Eukaryota; Fungi; Basidiomycota; Ustilaginomycetes; Ustilaginales; Ustilaginaceae. The record is from RNAcentral.